UAUUAACCUAUAUUACUUCAUCUCGACAAGUCCCUCUAAAGUUGAGUCAUCAUAUUUCGGUUUCCCAUUCAGAGUUGAAAACAACACUCCCAAUUCGUAGUUCUGUACCGAAUGCCAGGGUUUCUUGAAAGCUUUCGCCUUUUACAAGUUCACCUUCCUUAGGGCUUGGAGUUCACCUUAGAAGACUCAACUAAUAUUCUUUUAUCUCACAGUUUUUUUAAACUGUACAAGCUUUGGGUUUGUUGUAGGGGAGUUACUUGAACACGGGCGUCGAAGUACAGUCGGGCCCGUGAUAUAUUAUGAUCAGCGGUAUCGCUUCGCAAAACCACAGCUAUCCCAUCGUGUUAAUAAAGCAAUAUUCGCACAUGGCCGGCAGUCAUGGCUGCCUGCUACUGAAUGCGAUAAAUCAAUUUAGCUCGGUAAUUGACAGAAAGACCUCAUGGGAAUGUACCUCUUGGCCUUGCGUUUAGCGACAGUAUCAAAGGCAAACCGACCACUUUAACUGUGGUGUUUUCAUUUGUUCGCUCUAUAGUUUGCCAAGAAUCUGUGUGAGAGCAGGGAUUUAAACGUUGUUGACAUAACGGAAGAACGAGCAAACAUGACGAGGUUAAUCUUUGGCACAUGCUACAACGAUAUCCACCGGUGAAACGUCAAUAUUUGCAAAGUGUGCAAGGAUGACGAUGGAGAAGACUGGCUGGGUUGUGACGCCUGUGACCAGUACUUCCACUGCGGCUGUUUACCGGGCGACAAUUUCGCCGAGGCUGUAACCGGCGUUUCCUUCUGCCCUUGUAAAUAUUAUAUGUUACUCGCAAAGUAUUCCGCAGAUCUGCCAGAGAUUUCUAGUAUCCCCCAAUGGUCAACAGAGGUAGCGAGGGAUCAAUUUCCUCAGAUGUGAGAGAGAAACUAGAGAUAGCCGAAUUAGUCGGAGCAGUUUGGCAGUUUCACCGAGGAUGUGUAAUUAGAGGGACAAUAGGAGAGCCGGAAGCUAUAGACAAAGCUAGUAUGGGUAUUGUAUGGUCCUAUGACAGUAGGUUAGAUAGUGAUAGUGUCGUGUAACACGAGCAUUGUAUUUAGUUAGAGUUAGACUAGUGAAUAAAGGCAAGCCAUCAAGGCUAAAAAGUCCA
Molecule: long non-coding RNA, 1124 nt
Organism: Nematostella vectensis (starlet sea anemone)
Lineage: Eukaryota; Metazoa; Cnidaria; Anthozoa; Actiniaria; Edwardsiidae
Exons: 3
Source: RefSeq, a predicted model, not a curated record